This 338-nucleotide ribosomal RNA is filed under the name Ensifer fredii. RNAcentral's name for it is "Sinorhizobium fredii bacterial LSU rRNA". It matches the Rfam family "Bacterial large subunit ribosomal RNA", at positions 71 to 459 of the family's 2925-position model. The record is from RNAcentral. Lineage: Bacteria; Pseudomonadati; Pseudomonadota; Alphaproteobacteria; Hyphomicrobiales; Rhizobiaceae.
AAACUUCGCAGGCCGGAGGCCGUCUCCGGUUAUCCCGCGUCAAGAAACCAAAGUGGUUUCCAAGCAUUGUUGAAAGGUAUCUUAUCCUGAAUUCCAUAGGGAUAAGAAGCGAACGCGGGGAACUGAAACAUCUAAGUACCUGGAGGAAAGGAUAUCAACCGAAACUCCCCAAGUAAUGGCGAGCGAACACGGAACACGCCCGUGGCAAUGAGGAAUAAAGUGGAACGAUUUGUAAAGGGCGGCCGUAACGGGUGAAAGCCCCCUACACGAAUAACACUCUUUUUCUUUGAGUAGGGCGGGACACAAGAAAUCCUAUCUGAACAAGUGGUUAACACACA